This 339-nucleotide unclassified non-coding RNA is filed under the name soil metagenome. Its description in RNAcentral is "partial contains 5.8S ribosomal RNA, internal transcribed spacer 2, and large subunit ribosomal RNA". The stretch from base 1 to 120 matches the Rfam family "5.8S ribosomal RNA", at positions 35 to 154 of the family's 154-position model. The record is from RNAcentral.
GAUGAAGAACGCAGCGAAAUGCGAUACUUGGUGUGAAUUGCAGAAUUCAGUGAAUCAUCGAGUCUUUGAACGCACAUUGCGCCCCCUGGUAUUCCGGGGGGCAUGCCUGUCCGAGCGUCAUUGCUGCCCUCAAGCACGGCUUGUGUGUUGGGCUCCGUCCCCCCGGGGACGGGCCCGAAAGGCAGCGGCGGCACCGAGUCCGGUCCUCGAGCGUAUGGGGCUUUGUCACCCGCUCUGUAGGCCCGGCCGGCGCCAGCCGACAACCCAUCAUCCUUUUCAGGUUGACCUCGGAUCAGGUAGGGAUACCCGCUGAACUUAAGCAUAUCAAUAAGCGGAGGA